RNAcentral lists this ribosomal RNA (423 nucleotides) under Triticum aestivum (bread wheat). RNAcentral describes it as "partial small subunit ribosomal RNA". Lineage: Eukaryota; Viridiplantae; Streptophyta; Magnoliopsida; Poales; Poaceae. The record is from RNAcentral.
UUGAAGACCAUCCCACUCGUCUGGCCUUUUGCGGUUUGGGGGCUGGACAUGGUCGGCCCUUUGAGAACAGGACGAAGUGGCUUCACACAUGUACUGGUGGCAGUCGACAAGUUCACCAAGUGGAUCGAGGCUAAGCCAAUCAAGAGCCUCGACACCGGUACUGCUGUUAGCUUCAUCAGGGAACUAAUAUUCAGAUAUGGAGUCCCGCACAGCAUCAUUACGGAUAAUGGGUCAAACUUUGACUCAGAGGAAUUCAGAACCUUCUGCAACUCCCAGGGCACACGGGUCGACUACGCAUCAGUCGCCCAUCCGCAGUCGAAUGGACAAGCAGAGCGAGCUAAUGGACUAAUUCUCAAGGGACUAAAGCCGCGACUGAUGCGUGAUCUCAAACACGCGGCUGGAGCUUGGGUCGACGAACUUCCA